GCGCCUCCCCGAGCUGAGCCGCGCGUCCCGAGCCCAGCCUCUCCGGGGAGGAGGGACCCGGCGGCGCGGCGUGGGUCGGGAGCGGGCGCCUGGGACUACUUCUCGUUUGAAAGUUUUCAGAGGCCAAAAGUUUGAGCCGGGGCUGCGGAAGGAUCCGGCUCUGGCGGUUGCCGCGCUCGGCGACAACUGGCGACUGAAAUUUGCAUGUGAAUAAGCGGAGGAGCCCGGGGCGGAAUGGGGAGGGCGAGGCCGCGGACAGCCGUGUGCACCGUGCGCUGGGCCGGGCGGGGAGCAGCUGAGGCCACGUUGGGGGACCCCGGGCCCGGGGCAGGGCUCUGGGAGAGUGGCCUAGCCGUGUGUGCGCCCCUAGCCCAGCGGCUUCACUCCCUCCCGAGGGCCCCGUGGCCGCGGCUUUAGGCGUCCAGAGGAUCGAUCGCCGCCAGACAUCCCUGGCCGUGAUUGCCCGAGCACUUGACCGCGAGGGAUGGGGGCGCCGCGGCCUCUGGGCAGGGGACUCCGGGCGCCCCGAGGGAGCAGCCGGGACCAGUGCCUCGCGGACGGAUUGUGCCCCGCUCCCCCAAGGGGGACCCGCGUCGACACGCUCCUCGGUCACCGUCCUCCUCCUGCCCGGGCGCCGCCUGCCUAAGGUGGCCCCAGAAAGCACAAACGGGUCGGGCGGAUCUGCCGCUGGCGCCGGCGCAGCCCUUCCCACGUGCUCCUUCCGGCUGAUUUAUUUCUCCACCACGAUGCCAGGCACGGGCACCCUGUGCCAAGCCUGGUUAAGCGCCAGGAGUCCAAAAUGCCUGCCAUAGUCCCUGCGCAAAGUUCACGGCCUCGUGCCAGGGACAGACAGCGCCCCCUCCCCACCCCAACACAGGGUGGUGAGUGCGAUGGCAGAAGGCGCGUGUCCCGGCGCCCCUCCUGGAGUAGGAGGGCUAAGCCUGCCCUGCGGGGAGACCGAAAGGCUGGGAGGGACCUAGGACUGUGGGGGCCUGGGGGGAGGGCUGCAGAAACCCCAGAGCAUGGUGGCAGAGGCAGGCACAGAAAGCAGGACAAAUCUCACACCUGACCCCAGCAAGCCUUUCCUGGCACACCUCUUGCCAAAUGCUGAGCACUCUGGAAACAGCCAGUGCAGGCGGCCUGUCCCGCCCCUGUAGCUGCUGCUGGGAGCCUCCCUCGCCUGCGUCCUCCCAGAAUCUGGCCUCACUUCUGCAGGCCUGGGGUAACAUCUUGGGGUCAGCGCCCCAGGAGAGGAGGCGCCUGGAGGCAGCAGAGAUGUUUAUGUAACAGCAGCCAGGCAGCCUGGAGGAGCAGAUUUUCCAUAGAAGGAAGCGCGGGGCUGUGCAGCUCCCAGGCUGAGGACUCUGCCCACCACGACGUCCUCUGCUCCUGCAGAGAAGAGAGUGGCCCAUUCGGUGUCCACCCGUCAGGCCACCCAGCAGCCAGGCACGCUCAUAAGCCCGCGUUACGGAUGGUGCGGCCGGGUGCACAGGCCCGAGGGAAGCACAGGCCUCGGCCUCCCAGCUCCCAACCCCUGCACCACCCACAGCCGGGAGUACCCCAUGGACAGCUGUGGCCGAGGAGAAGCCAGGGAUGAGGGGGAUGGGCCUCACCUCCCCACCAGCCUGGGAAGGGGGUAGGCCCCUGGCAAGUAGGUGAGAAGCUUUUUCAUUCACAAGUUGUCCGGGCUCCCCAUUCCUCUUUGUCAGGCCAGCGGGUGUGGGCAGUCGGGGGAGGCUGGGGUCCUGACACAACAGGAGUACAUCUGCUGGCCUAGGGCCUGGAGACCUUCUCCUACAGGUCGGGAGGCAGCCCUGGGCAGCGGGCAUUGCGGGGACUAAAGAGAAACAAGAGCAGGUUGUGUGCAGGGCACCCCAGCCACUCCAGAAACCCAAUGGGAGGGUGGGGGCUAGGACCCCAAGAAGCUGAAUUGGGGUGCAGUGCCGCCAGGCCUCCCCUGUAGGAGUCACUUUGGGCUUCCUGUCCCAACUUGUGGUGGGAGCUGGGGCAAGGUUCCAGGGGUACCCCGAAUGAAUGGGGCUGUUCCCAAGCUGGCCAGGGAGCCUGGAAGCAGAUGAGAUGGGGCCGCAGAGCCUGGUUUGCGGAGGGGAGAGGCAGACGUGUCCUGCAGCCCUCUCUUCUUCAGAGGCCCCCUGCGGGUGCUGAGGGGAGAGUGGCUUAGGCGUUGCACCCCAGGAGACUGAACUGGGUCAGUUCCCCCUUGUUUGCUGCCAGAGAAAUGGGGGUACCAUUGUCAGGGUGAGCUAAGGAGGCCCUGCUGACAUUGGCCCAACCAGGCCCCUCCUUUGCGGCUGCUGUGGGGACUUUCGAGAGCAGAGCACACCCCUAAGUGCGUGGAGAGGUAAGCACAGCUGGUGAGCACACGGGGACAGCGACGGAGCUCAUGGAGACCCAGGUGACCUUAAAACACCCCAGGGCCGGCUCCGGCCCCAGAGAGAUGUGGUCCGAGUAGAGGGGGGUCAGCAGUGACCUGGUGGGUGGGUGUAUUUGAGGGGUGCCUGUGUUGAAAGCUCUGCAGUAGAUUCUAAGGAGCAGCCAGGGCUGAGACUCCCGGUGCUGAGCCCAAGGCCCCUUUCCUUCCUGCAGGAGUUCAUCUUGGCUCUUGCAGCCCCCAUGACCCUGUGGCGCUGGGGGGCGGCUAGCAUGAUGCUCCCCAUUUUUCAGGAGGGAAGCUGAGGCUCAGAGACAUCAUGAGGAUGCCAGCUCAAGGCCCAGCCAGGCCUUGGUCCUCAGCUGCUGUCAUCCAGUAGGGUAAGUGGGACCCCCAGGAGGUGUUGGGGGACACUCCUCCCCUCCCCCACACUCACAGUCUGUUCACCGCCCAAGGCAGCAGGCUGGACUCGGUGCAGGGACCAUGGCUUGGCGUGGCCAGGUUGGAGUGGCCCCUGGGACUGAAAGCAGGGGGCGUGGGGGCUCUGAGGCGGGGCCGAGUGCGGGGACGUCCUGUGGCGGGUACCCUGCUGGGUCCUGGGUGGGGGCCACCACCAGGCAGCUGUGGGAACAUUCCAGACCACCUAGGAGUAGGGCCCCUUCACCGUUUGAAGCUGACUGUAAAAAACAUCUGACCUGUGUGCAAAGCUCAAGCCCAGAGGCCUCCAGGGUGUCCAGCCUCCAGGGUGCCUCCUACGCAGCCUCCACGUCCCCAUCCACUGCAGCCCCUGACCAUCGGGCACACCGUGGGGCCUUCGCUGGCCGCCGGGCCUCAGGUUCUGCUGCACCAAGUGAUUUUUAAAGCCCCAUCUGCCUUUCUCCACUUAUAAAGAACUUGGGACAUU
Molecule: long non-coding RNA, 3296 nt
Filed under: Homo sapiens (human)
Lineage: Eukaryota; Metazoa; Chordata; Mammalia; Primates; Hominidae
Description: HSALNT0355433
Source: RNAcentral